GAGCCACAGAAUGUAGGGGUCAGGUGACUUGUGAUGUCACACGGUGAGAACUCUAUAAAACCUACAACCUCCACACCAGGCACCUUACACCCAGCGCACCUGCACCUACUGCAGCACUUACAAAUUCUGCUAGGAGGACUGCACAUACGUACUCGAAUAAAGACCCUGACCCUACAGUAUCUCCUCUUCAAUCCAGCUGGAAAUUCUUCAUUGAAGAUCACUAAUUUUUUCAUUUUUUAAAGGAGGGGGAUGAAUUCUUUGUCCUCCUCUGCUUCUUUGUCAUCCCCCUCUUCCCUUCAGCUCUUCAUCCUUCUUGUGUGGGCCGGCCAGGUCGAACCCAGAGCCAGGCUGCCUGAACCGGACCAGCAGAUCCUCUAUGAUGAGCUCUUGACCUCACACGUCGCCUCUCUUCUCCUGGCCUCGCCCGAGGUCAGCGAGAGGUCAGCGCAAAGCCCCGCCCCCACACGGGAGGGUGGGCGAGGCGUAAGGCAGGGGCCCCUCUCAGUCUCCGCCUAUAGGCCAGCCUGGCCACGCCUACACCUCAGGUUCAUGGGACAGCAGACCAGGUUUAAGGGGAGAACCAGGAAGAGCUCAGAGGAGGGGCUGUCCCGAGCGGGGGGCGCACAGCACUGGAACCAGCAGAACCGCGAGACUACGGGGCCACUGACCACCUGGACACAGGCUGAGGAGAUUUAGGAUGAGGAGGAAACGACCCCAUGCAGACCUCACAGACGGGACGCUAUCAGCUAUAGCAGAAUGAGCUGUGAGAGACUACACCAGCGAGGGCCAGGCUUCACCGCUCACAGACCUUCCGUUUGCCGUUAAGCUCACCGAGAUGUGGUCCAUCCCAGCAGGAAACUGCACCAGUACAACGUGGUUUGAAUUUUAAAUCCCGCUAACAGACAUGAAUGCACCGUGCAGCUCAUAGCAUGAGACUAACAGUGCAAUGAACCACAUUAGAAUGUGCUGUACACUCAUCUGCAACCACAAAUGUAAGGUCAGUGUAGUCUAAAAGUGCCUAUUGGGUAAUGUAGUCAAAAAGUGCUUAUUGGGUAAUGUAGUCUACUUAUAAGUGCUUAUAAGUGCUUAUUGAAAACUGUUUAUAUUUUUUGCUGCAAGUGUAAUUUGAUUUUGUCAAUAAAAUAUAAUUAUUAACACAAGGAAAAAAACCCAUGGAUGACUCAAUAAUGUAAUAACUUUUCAAUGACAAUGUAAUA
Long non-coding RNA from Anguilla rostrata (American eel), 1217 nucleotides. RefSeq lists it as uncharacterized. The record is from RefSeq and is a predicted model, not a curated record. NCBI's taxonomy places the organism in Eukaryota, Metazoa, Chordata, Actinopteri, Anguilliformes, Anguillidae. The transcript is spliced from 3 exons.